UACAGGGGGUGCAAACGUUGCUCGGAAUCAUUGGGCGUAAAGCGCACGUAGGCGGUCUGUUAUGUCGGAUGUGAAAGCCCUUGGCUCAACUGAGGAAGUGCAUCCGAAACUGGCAGGCUAGAGUACGAAAGAGGAUCGCGGAAUUCCCGGUGUAGAGGUGAAAUGCGCAGAUAUCAGGAAGAACACCCGUGGCGAAGGCGGCUCUCUGGGACGGUACUGACGCUGAGACGCGAAAGCGUGGGGAGCGAACAGG
Molecule: ribosomal RNA, 253 nt
Filed under: uncultured bacterium
Lineage: Bacteria
Description: partial 16S ribosomal RNA
Rfam family: Bacterial small subunit ribosomal RNA
Source: RNAcentral